AUGGCGUCCUUGGUGGUUGUCGAUGCGUCCGGCCCGGCGCCAGUGGUUGAGAGGGCGGACAUGACGCGUCCGCCGCCGUGCCCAGUGCACAAUGGAUACAAGUGCUACCCGGUGCCAUGUCCCGGUGGCGAGCUCUUCUUGGUGCGCUGCUGCCUCUAUGGGUGCCCGGUGGAGGUGGUGGAUGUGAAGGUUUUCCGAUGGAACGAUGAGGGCAAUGCAUGGGAAACGGUGGACACCAUCGGCGAUAGAACUUUUUUUGUAGGCAACUUUAUUUUUGCGGUCCAGUCAGCGGCUGAAGCAGGAACUCAGCCCAACUGUAUCCAUGUGCUACGCGAGGUUUGUGGUGGAUUUGGUAUCUACACCGUGUCUCUGGAUGAUAUGACCAUUCGGCUCAGCAUAGUCGAGGGAUCUGACGAUGAUGGUCAGGAAGUUUUCUGGGCUCUUUCUACUAGCUUCGGUCUGGAAGCAGCACGAAUCAUCGACACUUCUGAUGAUGUCUCCAAUGAAGUGAUGCAAACAAGAAUUGAACAUUGUUGUGGAGAGCAAGAAAAAGAGGACACGGGGAUGAGCGCUGCGGCCUCUCGAGAGGAGAGGCAGUGGCGUGAUCUCCAUACCGACUUAUUGCAGUUACUAGUACCCAAGAUUUCAUUCAUCGAUUUCCUACACCUGAAAGUUGUCUGCAAGCAGUGGAACUUCAUUAAGAGCCCGAUCCAGAAUGCAAAAGUGUCACCAUUGCUCAUGACAACUCAGCCAGCAGGAAGGACCAAGGAGGAUCUUGUCGAGAUCUUCGAUCCAGUGAGCGAGAAGAAGUAUAGUAUCAGGUUAAAUAUCCCUACUUCAGGUCUCCAAUUUCAAGGAUCGCAGUUACUGCAUUUCACAAAGAACGGUUGGGUCAUCGUAUCGAGAGGCGGCGACCACAUGAUCUUCCUAGUGAAUCUGUUCAAGAACUACCCUAAUGGUGGCCAUGUGAUCGCUCUUCCACCUUUGGAUAUCCUUGGUCUCAGAGGAUUGUCAUUUUCUUCGGUGUCGGGUUCUCCGGACUUCAUGGUCCUUGCCGCAGGAUCUACCCCAAACGGCGAAGUUGUCAUGAUAAAGACAUGGCGAAUGGGAGAUGAAGAUUGGAAGGAUGAAUCCGCAGGCCACGACAACGUGACCUUCUUCAUGGCAUCUCACAGUCCCGUCUUCCUGGAUGGACUCUUCUAUUUUCUGGACAUCAAUGGCAGGCUUGGGGUGGUGGACCCGAACGAGGACGAAAUGGAAUGGAACAUCCUCGAAAAGCCGAAUCAACCGAUACGCGGAAGCGUUGAGGUGCAUUCUAGGGAAUAUUAUUAUAACUAUCUGGUGGAGUGGAAGGGGGAGUUGAUCGCCAUUAUCAGAGAGAACGGCGAUGAUGGGUCUGUCAGAACGUUCAAGCUCGAUCGGUCUCGGAUGGUUUGGUCCGAGUUGGAAGGCUUGGAGGACGCGGCCGUGUUUUGGGAUAGGAGCAAUGCUCUGAUUGUUGUGCCACCUACAGGAGAAGAUUCAUGUAACAAGAUGUUCCUCCCGAACUAUAGUGAGAUCAACAGUGGUGGCAGGACGCAGGCGUUCUACUCAUUCCAGGAGCAAUGCUACCGCCCUUCCUUCUAUGCCAAGGAGCCCAUGAACGCAAUAUGGUUCCAGCCAGACUUGGACCUAUACUUACAGUGA
Molecule: ribosomal RNA, 1686 nt
Filed under: Triticum aestivum (bread wheat)
Lineage: Eukaryota; Viridiplantae; Streptophyta; Magnoliopsida; Poales; Poaceae
Description: partial small subunit ribosomal RNA
Source: RNAcentral